CUCCGCGCUGCCCCUGGACGCCCGUGAAAACAUCGCGACCAACGACUGUCCCUUCAACACCACGCGCAUCUACGACACGGCGCUGGCGCUCUGGUUCCUCUCCCUGCUGCUGGCAGCUGCGGAAGCCGUGCUCUCGGGCAGGAGCUGCCUGGUGGCUCUGGUGUUCCGCGGCAUCGGGCCCUGUGCACACGGCUAUGGCAGAGAGCAGCUGGCCAGGCCAAGUACAGCAAUGGAGAAGCCACUCCGUGAGAGGCAGCAGCUCCUGGCAGGAAUUUCUGACUCUGCAGUGUAGCUGGAGAGGUGGUGCUGCAGGAGCGCUGUGACCCAGCCAGGUGGGGGCCAAGGUGGUGUCACAGCUCCUGCAGGGGGCUCGGGGUGUGCCCUGCCCCCAGCUCCACCAGCCCCCUGGCACCGACCCUGCAGGCCAGCAGGUGCUGCUGCUCUCCCAUCCUCGCCCCGAGCUGCUGGGCCCGUCCUGGUGUGCUGCAGGUUCUUGGUUUCUGGCAGCAGUGGUGGGGGUGGACAGUCCUGGUGCCACUGCAGGCAUGGCAGCUGGCUGUGCCUGUGCUCAGAUGUCUCAGGGAACAGAAAGGGAAGAAUCCCUUUGGUGUAGGUCUCUAGUUUUCUUGAAUAAACUUUUCCUUUCUACACUGGCUGUUCUAAGUGGCUCUGCCAGGUGAGUGCUGGUUGGGAACAAGGCAUGCCAAGGGAAGGGAAGUGCAGCUGCUCUGUGAGCCUGUCCCUGUGCCUGCCACUGCCCAAGCACAGGAAUGGUGGCAGAGCUGUGG
This is a non-coding RNA of Zonotrichia albicollis (white-throated sparrow), 788 nucleotides long. The record is from RefSeq and is a predicted model, not a curated record. Lineage: Eukaryota; Metazoa; Chordata; Aves; Passeriformes; Passerellidae.